GGAGGCUCCUCCCCCACAUCAUCAUAGUCCAUCCCACUGGGAGCUGGAGGGCUUUCGGGGGCCAGAACGCUCUCCCCUACAGGGAUGGAUCAGAAGACAGACAGACAGACACAGUCAGCAGAAGUGCUCUGUUCCGGAGCAGCAGAACACGCAGCACCACCAGCAGCAAGAGGAACAGCACCCCCACCACCAGGAAGGCCACUUCUAGGAUAGAUAGGCUGGGUGGAGCCUCUAAUGGGGGCUCUGGCCGUUUGGUCACUGAAAAUGAGGAAGUAAAGGGGUUGGGAAUCAGCAAACAACAUGGCAUACUGCUGCUACUUAACUUACAAUGACCACUUAGCUAGGUUUCCACCAGCUAAGUGGUCGCUGUAUGUACUGUAUAUAGCAAGUCAUUCCACAAUUCUCAAUGCAAUGAGGCCAAAAGUGGGUCAGAGAACAAGUGUACAGUAUAGCUUUUAACUAGUAAACAUUUCAGCUAUCAGUGAUUUUUAGAUUUUUAUCGAGCAUGCGAAUAAUAAUUCUGGCUGAAAAAGACUAUUGUUUUUCUGCGAGGUCCUCUGACAAUUCAAUUACUGUCUGGACCAAUGUGUCAACACGUGAGAGUGUGUCAGACUUUGGUAGUCUAGAAGUCCUCUAAUGUAGGGGAGGAAUAAUGCAGUUGUUAACUACUAACUACUGAAAUUUUAAUCUGUACAUCUUUGUUAAUGUAUUUGUACAAUGUUAAUUAAUGUUACCAACUGCAGUAGUUAAUGCUAUUUCAAUUUGGAAUAAAAACUGUUGAAUUAUU
Molecule: long non-coding RNA, 787 nt
Organism: Anguilla rostrata (American eel)
Lineage: Eukaryota; Metazoa; Chordata; Actinopteri; Anguilliformes; Anguillidae
Exons: 2
Source: RefSeq, a predicted model, not a curated record